This 211-nucleotide ribosomal RNA is filed under the name uncultured Ehrlichia sp. Its description in RNAcentral is "partial 16S ribosomal RNA". It matches the Rfam family "Bacterial small subunit ribosomal RNA", at positions 823 to 1034 of the family's 1533-position model. The record is from RNAcentral. Lineage: Bacteria; Pseudomonadati; Pseudomonadota; Alphaproteobacteria; Rickettsiales; Anaplasmataceae.
UGAGGAUUUUAUCUUUGUAUUGUAGCUAACGCGUUAAGCACUCCGCCUGGGGACUACGGUCGCAAGACUAAAACUCAAAGGAAUUGACGGGGACCCGCACAAGCGGUGGAGCAUGUGGUUUAAUUCGAUGCUACGCGAAAAACCUUACCACUUUUUGACAUGAAGGUCGUAUCCCUCCUAACAGGGGGAGUCAGUUCGGCUGGACCUUACA